CCUACGGGCUGCACCAGUGGGGAAUAUUGCACAAUGGGCGCAAGCCUGAUGCAGCCAUGCCGCGUGUAUGAAGAAGGCCUUCGGGUUGUAAAGUACUUUCAGCGGGGAGGAAGGUGUUGUGGUUAAUAACCGCAGCAAUUGACGUUACCCGCAGAAGAAGCACCGGCUAACUCCGUGCCAGCAGCCGCGGUAAUACGGAGGGUGCAAGCGUUAAUCGGAAUUACUGGGCGUAAAGCGCACGCAGGCGGUCUGUCAAGUCGGAUGUGAAAUCCCCGGGCUCAACCUGGGAACUGCAUUCGAAACUGGCAGGCUAGAGUCUUGUAGAGGGGGGUAGAAUUCCAGGUGUAGCGGUGAAAUGCGUAGAUAUUAGGAGGAACACCAGUGGCGAAGGCGGCCUGCUGGACAUUAACUGACGCUGAGGAGCGAAAGCGUGGGGAGCAAACAGGAUUAGAUACCCGCGUAGUC
Molecule: ribosomal RNA, 465 nt
Filed under: uncultured bacterium
Lineage: Bacteria
Description: bacterial SSU rRNA
Rfam family: Bacterial small subunit ribosomal RNA
Source: RNAcentral